This 329-nucleotide unclassified non-coding RNA is filed under the name soil metagenome. Its description in RNAcentral is "partial contains 5.8S ribosomal RNA, internal transcribed spacer 2, and large subunit ribosomal RNA". The stretch from base 1 to 120 matches the Rfam family "5.8S ribosomal RNA", at positions 35 to 154 of the family's 154-position model. The record is from RNAcentral.
GAUGAAGAACGGAGCGAAAUGCGAUACGUAAUGUGAAUUGCAGAUUUCAGUGAAUCAUCGAAUCUUUGAACGCACAUUGCGCCCGCCAGUAUUCUGGCGGGCAUGCCUGUUCGAGCGUCAUUUCAACCAUCAAGCCUUCGCUUGUGUUGGGGCCCCGCGGCUGCCGCGGUCCCCUAAAUCCAGUGGCGGGCUCGUCGUCGUACCGAGCGCAGUAGACAUCCUCGCUCCGGGAACCCGACGGGUGCCGGCCGUGAAACCCCCCACAUCAAGGUUGACCUCGGAUCAGGAAGGAAUACCCGCUGAACUUAAGCAUAUCAAUAAGCGGAGGA